Molecule: long non-coding RNA, 1450 nt
Filed under: Triticum aestivum (bread wheat)
Lineage: Eukaryota; Viridiplantae; Streptophyta; Magnoliopsida; Poales; Poaceae
Description: long non-coding RNA (TAES_LNC004931)
Source: RNAcentral
UCCAUCAAGAUACUAUAUAGAAGAUACAUUUCAAAAUAUUAUAAACAUGUGUAGCAAGCUAAUGAGGUGUCACAUUUUUUCAGCUCAAACUUUGACCUCAGAAAUUCGAAAACCAAUUCAUUCCUGAUAACUGCAUAACUCAUAAUCAGUGUUUCCCAGUAUGUUAGAGUAGAAAGGUUCCCAUUCUGUCUAGACCAUUCUUUAGGCACACUUUCCACAAUUAUGUUCGCGACGAAAUGUUACAUUGCAAAAUAUGCACUAAUGACUCAUUGUGGAAAUUGCAGGCAUGUUAUUAUGAACAGGAAAAGCAUACAGUUCAGUGACUUGCUAGUUGCCUCUACUACAUCCUCAUCUUUGUGACCAUUCAUCCCUCAUUUGGCCAGACAUGUUAAGACAGUCCAGACUUUGUUUGGAUGGCAACAGAAGCAUUCAGUUAGAUGUAACAAAGUGUAGCAAUCACACCUCGAAUAAUUCAUUAUGUUUAGAAAGAUUCUCCCUAUUUCUGUCAUUUUAUUUUUCUCAAUUAGGUUCACACUGAAAGGAACAUUACAUUGCAAACUACGUACAGUACUAAAUAUGUAGUGAGGCCGGUUUCAAGUUCCGCCUCAUGAAGCAACAAUUAUUUGAGAGAGAUUCCGCGGUGCAAUUUUCUAGUGAUUUGGGGGAGUACUAACGGAUCAGAUCAGCCAUUCAUUCAUAGGAUUUCUAGGUAUUUUACAUUGACGAAUUUUGAAAUAAUCUUGUUUGCCUCAUUUUCCCAACCUGCUCCUGAUGUUUCUUUUCUCUUGAAACUAACCUGAUCUUUCUGCUACCUGAAAUUGUCUCACAGUGGUACUCCACGCAGCAUCAUACUUCAUCUGAAAUCCUUUACGGCAUGUUAAUGAAACCAAAUAUUAUUCAAUGGUUUGAAAAGCUGAAGGGAAAAUAAAUGUGGAAAACAAGUAAAGCUCCAGAAAUUUUAAUCUCCAAACUAAACAAACUGAGCAGGACAGCCUUCAUAAGCCUGUGUUAAUGCUUUUCAUAGUUGACACAAAGUAUAAAAAUGAAUCAAGCUGCAUGUCAUCCACAGCCCAAAUAAGCAUAUGGGGUCUCCAAACAGAAAAAGAAAGCAAUCAUGUUUGACUCAUUUUUCUAACCUACUCCUGAUUUUUCUUUUCACUUGAAACUAACCUGAUCUUUCUACUGCCUGAAACUGUCUCCAAGUGGUACUCCACACAGCAUACUACUUCAUCUGAAACCAUUUAUAGCACGUUAGUUGAUUGUAACUUUAACGAAACCAAAUAUUAUUCACUGUACAACUCCAGACAUUUUAAUCUCCAAACUAGACAAACUGACCAGGAUAGCCUUCAUAAGCUUAUUAAUGUUGUUCCAUGGUUGACACAAAGUAUACAAAUUUAUCAAGCUGCAUGUCCACACACAAGACCUCCCAAGGUGAGCUCUGUCGAGGCGG